This is a long non-coding RNA of Myotis brandtii (Brandt's bat), 772 nucleotides long. RefSeq lists it as uncharacterized. The transcript is spliced from 3 exons. The record is from RefSeq and is a predicted model, not a curated record. NCBI's taxonomy places the organism in Eukaryota, Metazoa, Chordata, Mammalia, Chiroptera, Vespertilionidae.
UGGCAAAAUGACCGGCAGAUCCGCCCAGGAAACCGGAGGCGUUUGGAUCUCCAUCUUCGACGGCGUCCCCCCGACGUUGAAGGGAGACGCCUUGUCCCCAGAGAGGAGCGUCCCCAUUGGGCCUGAACGUGGAUGUGGCUCCGGAAAGAAACGCAGUCUGAGGCCCAAUCUCCGGAGCGCAGGUGACCGCAGUGUGUCCCGCAUGCGGAGAGCAAGCUGCACCGAGAGAUAAACCGGGAGUGAGAGCAGGCCCGCGAAGCCGCCAGCUCUGUAGACACUGAUGCAACUGAAGUUAAUUACAGCCAAGAGGUGUCGGCGAGAGAAGCCCGGAGAAUACAUUCACUUAGGAUAUUUCUAAAGGUCGUUCUCACACUGGAUGCUCAGCCAUGGAGCUAAGCCGGCCGGGCUGAUGGGUUGACUCUUUAUGCGAAACAACAGGUACAAUGAACCCCGCAAAGGUAAUGCAAGUCGGGGGGGGAAGGGGGGAUGGAAAGGUUUGGGGAAUGGUUCUAAUUCUUUUCCCCGCCAUGGACCACAAAUGAAACGCGUGCUUUGAACUUUACAAGAGUUUAAAGGAUUUUCUAGGGUUAUUUUUGGCUGUGAAUGAUUCUUCUCUUAGAUGCUGACUUUAAAACCCAGCAUUGCCCUGGAACUUAAGGUAAGAAAAAUUCCUUGUUGGAAACAGAUUUUUCUUUUCUUUUCGUAAGAUUAUAAAUUAUAGCCAGCCAGCAAGAACAGCGGCCAUUUCCUUAGCGGUCAAAUUGGUAUUUUU